Molecule: ribosomal RNA, 887 nt
Filed under: Nematoda environmental sample
Lineage: Eukaryota; Metazoa; Nematoda
Description: SSU rRNA
Rfam family: Eukaryotic small subunit ribosomal RNA
Source: RNAcentral
UAAAAUCUACUUGAUCUUGACACAAUCCUACUUGGAUAACUGUGGUAAUUCUAGAGCUAAUACAUGCAUUAAAGCUCUGACCUCACGGGAAGAGUGCACUUAUUAGAACAAAACCAAGCGGCUUCGGCUGUUUCUGGUUGACUCAUAGUAACUGAGCUGAUCGCACGGUCUUGCACCGGCGACGUGUCUUUCGAGUAUCUGCCGUAUCAACUUUCGAUGGUAGUGUAUCUGACUACCAUGGUGAUCACGCGUAACGGAGAAUAAGGGUUCGGCUCCGGAGAGUUCGCCUGAGAAAUCGCGGACACAUCUAAGGAAGGCAGCAGGCGCGAAAAUUACCCACUCUCAGCACGAGGAGGUAGUGACGAAAAAUAACGAGACCGUUCUCUUAUGAGGCCGGUCAUCGGAAUGGGUACAAUUUAAACCCUUUAACGAGUAUCUAUGAGAGGGCAAGUCUGGUGCCAGCAGCCGCGGUAAUUCCAGCUCUCAAAGUGCAUAGAAUUAUUGCUGCGGUUAAAAGGCUCGUAGUUGGAUCUGUGCCAUAGGACGUGGUCCACCUUCUGGGUGCGUACUAUGUUCCUAGGCUUUUUGCUGGUUUUCCCGUCGUAGCCUUAACUGGUUGCGGCGGGUGGCUGGCGAGUUUACUUUGAGAAAAUCAGAGUGCUCAACACAGGCGUAUCGCUUGAAUGAUUGUGCAUGGAAUAAUAGAAAAGGAUUUCGGUCCUCUUUUAUUGGUUUUGUGGACUGAGAUAAUGGUUAACAGGGACCAACGGGGGCAUUCGUAUCGCUGCGUGAGAGGUGAAAUUCUUGGACCGUAGCGAGACGCCCUACUGCGAAAGCAUUUGCCAAGAAUGUCUUCAUUAAUCAAGAACGAAAGUCAGAGGUUCGAA